GUUGGAUAAAUGAAUAAAUUGCAGGUUUAGGUUGAAAAAAUUAAUAAAUAUCACGUUUGGGCUGGAUAAAUUAAUAAAGGACAGAUUCAGGCUGGAUAAAUUAAUAAAAAAGAGGUUUGGGUUGGUUAAAUUAAUAAAGAACAUGUAUAGGUUGGAUAAAUUAAUAAACAGGAAAUUCAGGCUGGAUAAAUUAAUAAAUAACAGGUUUGGGUUGGAUAAAUUAAUAAG
Non-coding RNA from Sturnus vulgaris (Common starling), 228 nucleotides. NCBI's taxonomy places the organism in Eukaryota, Metazoa, Chordata, Aves, Passeriformes, Sturnidae. The record is from RefSeq and is a predicted model, not a curated record.